UAAUACGUAGGUGACAAGCGUUAUCCGGAAUUACUGGGCGUAAAGCGCACGCAGGCGGCCGCUUAAGUCUGACGUGAAAUCUCCUGGCUUAACUGGGAGGGGUCGUUGGAAACUGAGUGGCUUGAGGCAGUGAGAGGGGUGUAGAAUUCCCGGUGUAGUGGUGGAAUGCGUAGAUAUCGGGAGGAAUACCAGAGGCGAAGGCGACACCCUGGCACUGGCCUGACGCUCAUGUGCGAAAGCGUGGGGAGCGAACGGG
RNAcentral lists this ribosomal RNA (256 nucleotides) under uncultured bacterium. RNAcentral's name for it is "partial 16S ribosomal RNA". It matches the Rfam family "Bacterial small subunit ribosomal RNA", at positions 521 to 776 of the family's 1533-position model. The record is from RNAcentral.